CCCAGCUGUAGGCAACUGCCUAGGUUGCCUCGUACCUAGGCAAGUGUUUCAGUGCUAGGAGAAAAGCAGCCAAUAGCUGGUGGGCAUUCUGGGCCUGAAUUCAUGCCAACUUU
Molecule: small nucleolar RNA, 113 nt
Organism: Ochotona princeps (American pika)
Lineage: Eukaryota; Metazoa; Chordata; Mammalia; Lagomorpha; Ochotonidae
Gene: SNORA74
Rfam family: Small nucleolar RNA SNORA74
About the family: U19 belongs to the H/ACA class of snoRNAs. snoRNAs bind a number of proteins (including dyskerin, Gar1p and Nop10p in the case of the H/ACA class) to form snoRNP complexes. This class are thought to guide the sites of modification of uridines to pseudouridines by forming direct base pairing interactions with substrate RNAs. Targets may include ribosomal and spliceosomal RNAs but the exact functions of many snoRNAs, including U19, are not confirmed.
Source: Ensembl